GGAAAGUCGCACGGUACAGGGUGAUAGUCCCGUACACAAAAAUGCAUAUGUUGUGAGUUCGAUGAGUAGGGCGGGACACGUGACAUCCUGUCUGAAUAUGGGGGGACCAUCCUCCAAGGCUAAAUACUCCUGACUGACCGAUAGUGAACCAGUACCGUGAGGGAAAGGCGAAAAGAACCCCGGCGAGGGGAGUGAAAUAGAACCUGAAACCGUGUACGUACAAGCAGUGGGAGCACCUUCGUGGUGUGACUGCGUACCUUUUGUAUAAUGGGUCAGCGACUUAUAUUUUGUAGCAAGGUUAACCGAAUAGGGGAGCCGUAGGGAAACCGAGUCUUAACUGGGCGAAUAGUUGCAAGGUAUAGACCCGAAACCCGGUGAUCUAGCCAUGGGCAGGUUGAAGGUUGGGUAACACUAACUGGAGGACCGAACCGACUAAUGUUGAAAAAUUAGCGGAUGACUUGUGGCUGGGGGUGAAAGGCCAAUCAAACCGGGAGAUAGCUGGUUCUCCCCGAAAGCUAUUUAGGUAGCGCCUCGUGAACUCAUCUUCGGGGGUAGAGCACUGUUUCGGCUAGGGGGUCAUCCCGACUUACCAAACCGAUGCAAACUCCGAAUACCGAAGAAUGUUAUCACGGGAGACACACGGCGGGUGCUAACGUCCGUCGUGAAGAGGGAAACAACCCAGACCGCCAGCUAAGGUCCCAAAGUCAUGGUUAAGUGGGAAACGAUGUGGGAAGGCAUAGACAGCCAGGAUGUUGGCUUAGAAGCAGCCAUCAUUUAAAGAAAGCGUAAUAGCUCACUGGUCGAGUCGGCCUGCGCGGAAGAUGUAACGGGGCUAAACCAUGCACCGAAGCUGCGGCAGCGACACUUAGGUGUUGUUGGGUAGGGGAGCGUUCUGUAAGCCGUUGAAGGUGACCUGUGAGGGUUGCUGGAGGUAUCAGAAGUGCGAAUGCUGACAUAAGUAACGAUAAUGCGGGUGAAAAACCCGCACGCCGGAAGACCAAGGGUUCCUGUCCAACGUUAAUCGGGGCAGGGUGAGUCGACCCCUAAGGCGAGGCUGAAAAGCGUAGUCGAUGGGAAACAGGUUAAUAUUCCUGUACUUGGUGUUACUGCGAAGGGGGGACGGAGAAGGCUAGGCUAGCCGGGCGACGGUUGUCCCGGUUUAAGCAUGUAGGCGGAGUGACUUGGUAAAUCCGGUUGCUUAUCAACGCUGAGGUGUGAUGACGAGCCACUACGGUGGUGAAGUAGUUGAUGCCAAGCUUCCAGGAAAAGCCUCUAAGCAUCAGGUAACAUUAAAUCGUACCCCAAACCGACACAGGUGGUCAGGUAGAGAAUACUCAGGCGCUUGAGAGAACUCGGGUGAAGGAACUAGGCAAAAUGGUGCCGUAACUUCGGGAGAAG
Molecule: ribosomal RNA, 1398 nt
Filed under: Yersinia enterocolitica
Lineage: Bacteria; Pseudomonadati; Pseudomonadota; Gammaproteobacteria; Enterobacterales; Yersiniaceae
Description: partial 23S ribosomal RNA
Rfam family: Bacterial large subunit ribosomal RNA
Source: RNAcentral